AAUAGAUACCCAGGUAGUCCACGCCGUAAACGAUGAGUGCUAAGUGUUAGGGGGGUUUCCGCCCCCUUAGUGCUGCAGCUAACGCAUUAAGCACUCCGCCUGGGGAGUACGGUCGCAAGACUGAAACUCAAAGGAAUUGACGGGGGCCCGCACAAGCGGUGGAGCAUGUGGUUUAAUUCGAAGCAACGCGAAGAACCUUACCAGGUCUUGACAUCCCGCUGACCGGCCUAGAGAUAGGCUUUUCCCUUCGGGGACAGCGGUGACAGGUGGUGCAUGGUUGUCGUCAGCUCGUGUCGUGAGAUGUUGGGUUAAGUCCCGCAACGAGCGCAACCCUUGAUCUUAGUUGCCAGCAUUCAGUUGGGCACUCUAAGGUGACUGCCGGUGAUAAACCGGAGGAAGGUGGGGAUGACGUCAAAUCAUCAUGCCCCUUAUGACCUGGGCUACACACGUGCUACAAUGGACGGUACAGAGGGUCGCAACCCCGCGAGGGUGAGCUAAUCCCAUAAAACCGUUCUCAGUUCGGAUUGUAGG
Molecule: ribosomal RNA, 531 nt
Filed under: uncultured bacterium
Lineage: Bacteria
Description: bacterial SSU rRNA
Rfam family: Bacterial small subunit ribosomal RNA
Source: RNAcentral